RNAcentral lists this ribosomal RNA (440 nucleotides) under uncultured bacterium. RNAcentral describes it as "partial 16S ribosomal RNA". It matches the Rfam family "Bacterial small subunit ribosomal RNA", at positions 338 to 795 of the family's 1533-position model. The record is from RNAcentral.
CCUACGGGAGGCAGCAGUAGGGAAUAUUGCUCAAUGGGGGAAACCCUGAAGCAGCGACGCCGCGUAGAGGAUGAAGGUUUUCGGAUUGUAAACUCCUUUUGUUAGAGAAGAUAAUGACGGUAUCUAACGAAUAAGCACCGGCUAACUCCGUGCCAGCAGCCGCGGUAAUACGGAGGGUGCAAGCGUUACUCGGAAUCACUGGGCGUAAAGAGCGCGUAGGCGGGAUAGCAAGUCAGAUGUGAAAGCCUAGGGCUUAACCAUAGAACUGCAUUUGAAACUGUUAGUCUAGAGUAUGGGAGAGGGAGGUGGAAUUCUUGGUGUAGGGGUAAAAUCCGUAGAGAUCAAGAGGAACACUCAUUGCGAAGGCGACCUGCUAGAACAUAACUGACGCUGAGGCGCGAAAGCGUGGGGAGCAAACAGGAUUAGAUACCCGUGUAGUC